GAUUGUGUGGCUGCUGUUGGUCUAAACUCUGAUGGCAAGAGGGAGAAGUGAGAAAAAACAUCCAUCUUCUACGUGCUACAAAAAGUGAAAAAGUGAAAUUGCAGGCUACACUUCAGGGAGCUUUCCUACUUUGCUACAGACAGCUGAAAGGUAUAUGUGACUAUGGUGCCACAGCUGGUCACUCAGCAAAACUUUACCUCUCCUGCUGAAGAAAGGUAGAUGAACAGCCUUAAAGCAACUGCUGCAUUUCCAAGAAUAGUUUAAAAAGCAGUGGCCUGGAAGCCACUGGAAGCCACUGGAAGCAGAGGAAAAGCAGAGGAAGUGUUCCUAUUCCUAUUACCAGUCUGUAAACCUGUGGAUGUUGUACACACAUGUGAAUAUGCUUCUCUGUACUCUGCAAUAACUCUAUAGAAGUUAAAAAAUAAAUUGAAAUGGAGAAGUAUAUUAUGUGAACA
Molecule: long non-coding RNA, 455 nt
Filed under: Anser brachyrhynchus (Pink-footed goose)
Lineage: Eukaryota; Metazoa; Chordata; Aves; Anseriformes; Anatidae
Description: lncRNA (ENSABRG00000016527.1)
Source: RNAcentral